GCUCUCAUAGUUCAAUGGAUAGAACGGUUCCGUCCUAAGGAAUAGAUGUAGGUUCGAUUCCUACUGAGAGCA
Molecule: transfer RNA, 72 nt
Filed under: Candidatus Staskawiczbacteria bacterium RIFCSPHIGHO2_02_FULL_34_9
Lineage: Bacteria; Candidatus Staskawicziibacteriota
Description: tRNA-Arg
Rfam family: tRNA
About the family: Transfer RNA (tRNA) molecules are approximately 80 nucleotides in length. Their secondary structure includes four short double-helical elements and three loops (D, anti-codon, and T loops). Further hydrogen bonds mediate the characteristic L-shaped molecular structure. tRNAs have two regions of fundamental functional importance: the anti-codon, which is responsible for specific mRNA codon recognition, and the 3' end, to which the tRNAs corresponding amino acid is attached (by aminoacyl-tRNA synthetases). tRNAs cope with the degeneracy of the genetic code in two manners: having more than one tRNA (with a specific anti-codon) for a particular amino acid; and 'wobble' base-pairing, i.e. permitting non-standard base-pairing at the 3rd anti-codon position.
Source: RNAcentral